Esox lucius (northern pike) is the source of this 260-nucleotide long non-coding RNA. RefSeq lists it as uncharacterized. The transcript has 3 exons. The record is from RefSeq and is a predicted model, not a curated record. NCBI's taxonomy places the organism in Eukaryota, Metazoa, Chordata, Actinopteri, Esociformes, Esocidae.
UUCUCUUCUACAAACUUUUUAGCACCUUUAACUUUUUGCCAACAUGCCUUCAUUCUAGAGAUUAGACUUCACAACCGGAAGAUCACUGAUGUGGGAUCACCGCUUCGAUCUCCUUUCAAGAAUUUCUCGGCAAACCAACGGUUAAAGCAUUGGUCAUAUUCCCGUUUUAGUUCUCGACUUUCCUUGAAACACAUGGUCUGAUUGGCCAAACAACAUGGCUUGUUUUGAUGACGUUUUCAAGAAGCGACACAUCGUUAAAA